Molecule: long non-coding RNA, 1092 nt
Organism: Salvia splendens (bonfire salvia)
Lineage: Eukaryota; Viridiplantae; Streptophyta; Magnoliopsida; Lamiales; Lamiaceae
Exons: 2
Source: RefSeq, a predicted model, not a curated record
UGUAGAAAGAAUUGCAGAUAAGCAACGGCUGAUGAAAAGGAUAAAAUUCAAUAGUCAAGACAUACCACACUGACAAUCCUAUUUGGUAUUCCUACCAAUUGAUUUUUGACAAAUGUAAAUACAAUAUAUUCAUAGUUCCAUCACUCUAAAUUAUAUUGAAAGUUUAUACUCAUUCCAUGUAUAAUGCAUACAUUGUUAUGUAUUUUAAUAUUUAAUCAAUUUUCAUGAUUAUUUUCAAGAUCAUCUUAAACAUAAAUACAGAAAACGAUCACGUCACCCAUUAUAGAUUUUAGGUUUUAGACGAUUACCUUUUUUCUCUUUAUUUAUAUAUACAAAAAAUUUAGACAAAUAAAACAUGUAAUUAUAACUUCAAGUUUAUUAGUGUUAAAUACUUAUAAAUUAAAUUAAUUAUAUGACUAAUUAUAUAGUGUAGGUUUUGUUUAAUAAUUUCAUUGCACAUUGAUUGUAUGAAUAUUAUAUACGAGUGCUAUGUUAUAUUAUAAAAAUUUAAAUAAUAAUAAGAUGAGAUAGUAAUCAAUUGCCAAUUAAUUAUCAAUCUAAAAUUAAGACCAAUUUUUAACCAUUAGAUUAGGAGAUCUAGUGAUUGGCAUAAUAACAAGUGGAUUAUAUUUUAAAUUUUAGCACUAAGAUCAACAAAUAGAUCCAAAUUAGAUCCUUGAGGAGAUUUUAAGGCAGUUAAACCUCCCUCAGUUGGAUAGCAACUUGGCCUAAAAAUAACAAGUAUAUAAACCCCAACAUUUCCAAAUACAGCCACCCAUCACAAUUAAACAUUCCAAAAAUACCACAUAGAAUAGAGGAGUAUGAGGAGGGAGAGUUGCAGAUAAUUGUAGGAUCAAGUCCCCAAUCCAACAACUCUUUGUGCCCACAUCAAAAGGAAUUGAGGCUGCGCCAGCUGCUUUGGUUGGACUCUUUUCCGGUCGGAAUGUGGGAAAGCAAGUUGUUCUUGUGGCUCGUGAUUGAUCAAUUUGGUCCUAUUGAUCUUGAUUUAAUGGACGGUGAGGAUCGAUUUGUGUAUUAAUGUAUAUCUAAAAUAUUUCGUGUAAGCUUCAAUAAAGAAUUACCGUUUUUAUA